This 497-nucleotide ribosomal RNA is filed under the name uncultured bacterium. Its description in RNAcentral is "partial 16S ribosomal RNA". It matches the Rfam family "Bacterial small subunit ribosomal RNA", at positions 28 to 507 of the family's 1533-position model. The record is from RNAcentral.
GAUGAACGCUGGCGGCGUGCCUAAUACAUGCAAGUCGAGCGAACGGACGAGAAGCUUGCUUCUCUGAUGUUAGCGGCGGACGGGUGAGUGACACGUGGAUAACCUACCUAUAAGACUGGGAUAACUUCGGGAAACCGGAGCUAAUACCGGAUAAUAUUUUGAACCGCAUGGUUCAAAAGUGAAAGACGGUCUUGCUGUCACUUAUAGAUGGAUUCGCGCUGCAUUAGCUAGUUGGUAAGGUAACGGCUUACCAAGGCAACGAUGCAUAGCCGACCUGAGAGGGUGAUCGGCCACACUGGAACUGAGACACGGUCCAGACUCCUACGGGAGGCAGCAGUAGGGAAUCUUCCGCAAUGGGCGAAAGCCUGACGGAGCAACGCCGCGUGAGUGAUGAAGGUCUUCGGAUCGUAAAACUCUGUUAUUAGGGAAGAACAUAUGUGUAAGUAACUGUGCACAUCUUGACGGUACCUAAUCAGAAAGCCACGGCUAACUACGUG